CUGGAUCGAUUUCAUUUAUGUUUAUAAAGUUAUAUAUAUAUGUCUUUUACUAUAUAUUAGCAUUGAGAGUUUAAUUGCAUAUGUCUGCUCAUAUACUUAUGACUGUUCUGUUAACAUUAUAUACAUCAUACAAGAUCUCAAAAGGAACUAUAUACAAUAGCUACAGUAGUAGCUUUUAUAUUUUCAAUGAUUCAGAAAGGAAUCCUGUAACUAGCAGGACUCACUCUCCUGCUUUCUCCUUUCUUUUCCCUGCGAUAGUACAAAAAACAUUAUCCCUAAGCAAAAUGCUUAGUGAUGCAUAUAUAUAUAUAUAUAUAUAUAAUCAAGUGUAAAUUCAUAUUUUUUCCAAUGUUAACCAUAACUGUAAAUAAAACUUCAUAUGAAAAUUCUUUUGAUUGAAUCUUUCUUAAAAAUCAAUCUUUCUUUCAACUGAGUAAGUAAUUAUAUUAAUAAUAGUGAAAGAAAUUCUCUGCUCAAAAUCAAUAAUUAUCUGUGUGAAAAUGGUUACACAACAUCAUAAUAAUAGGAAAAGCAUUAAUUCAAGAAGCUUGACAAUAUUCAAUUUAGUCUCAACAGCUUAAAUAGACCGAAGGGCCAUCAAUGUUCUAUGAGCUCAUUAAGACAAAGCUUCUCAACCUCAAUCUAUGAUUUAUAUCUCAAUAGAAGAGAGACAAUCUCAAUCUCAUUUAAGAGGAAAUAAUAUUAUUUUUUAUCAUUCAUUUCCAUAUCAAUAACAAUAUCAACUUCAACAAAUAAAGUGAUAUCGGUAGGGCAAUAACCAUCUCUAUCAGCUGUUGUGAGACUAUAAAUCAUUUUAUAUAUUAAAUAUAAUUGAAAACAAAUUCAGCAAUAUUCAAUUUCCACAAACACUACUAAAUUCAAUCACAGCCAGCCCUCAUACUACAAAUAGUAAUUGGCCAACAUCCUCCUUCCCAAAUAAAUAACUUUCAAUUUAACUUUUAUAAAUCAUAAGGUAUCAAAUCAUGCUUCUUUCCUUUGAAAUCCAUAACACCUUUAUUUCAAUAUUUUCCUUUUUAUCAUAAAUCACUUUAUGAAAUUAAAUAUGAAAUCAAAUACAUUUUGACUUUAAACAAAUAAGAAAGGAGUAUUGCACUAACCUGAAUUAGAAGGCUCCCCUAGCCUUUCUCCUCGAAUUAUUGACUUAAUAUUUAUAUCAACUUCAUACUACUCAAUAAACACACACAUACUAUCAUAAGAAUGCAAAUUAAGUAUUGAAAUGUAGCAUUCAUGCUUUUCCUUCAAUUUCACUAUGCUUAAUCAAGUACCAUAUGCUUUUCCUUCAAUAAUGGCACUCAAUAACAUAUUAAAAGUGUGCUCAAUUCAUUGUUAACAAAUGGAAUUCAAGAUUUUAAUCACAUGAGUAGCAUGUCUUCCCUUAGCUAUAUCUCUAGUUUCUUAAAUCUAUUUAUGCUGAAAUUUUAUAGCAUCUUCCUCACAUAUUAGGCUAGUCCCAUAUAAAAUUUCAUGAAUUUUAGAGCUCAUUUUUACAGCCAAAUAACCUAAACAUCGUACUUGAUUUUCAGUUAGUCUUUCCACUCAGCAGCUUGCAUUCGUUUAAUUAUAACUCCAUUUCUCCUCAUCUAUUGUACUAAUCCUUUUAUCACAACCUUUUCCAACAUCCUAAUAUAGCUCCCUGUAAAAUUUCAUGAUUUUUAGAGCUCAUUUACCUAUUUAACUAAUUCAAUCUUUGUGACUAAAUUUUCAGAUAGCUCACAUAUAAUAACCUUUCAAUGAGUUUACCUUUGUUAUCUCCUUCCAUCAAUCAUGAAAUUCAAUCCCAUAACCUUUAUUAGUUCAUCUAUACUAUCAUUAGACUUCAUAGUCAGCCACUACAAAUCAUCAACAAGACCAAUUCAUGAAUUUUCUUCCUCUUUUCUAAUUCCAAGCAUAAUUUCAUCAUUAAAUCAUUUCAAACAACUUAUUAUCCUCUUAAAUUCUAAUUAAAAUAAUUUGGUUACAAAACCCUUAAUUCACAUACUUAAUCUUAAAACCUGAUUUACAAAACUAUAUGUGUAGUUAUCAAUUAAAUCAUAUAGUCUUGAAAUAUAGGAAGAAUUACUAACCUCUUUCACUUCCAAACUUGAUUUCCAUCUUUAAUUAAGUCCUCCUUCCUUUCCUUAGUGCUUGGCCAAAUAUGGAGAAGAAGAAAGAAGCUUUCA
This 2180-nucleotide long non-coding RNA is filed under the name Jatropha curcas. Its description in RNAcentral is "long non-coding RNA (JCUR_LNC001042)". Lineage: Eukaryota; Viridiplantae; Streptophyta; Magnoliopsida; Malpighiales; Euphorbiaceae. The record is from RNAcentral.